UACGGAGGGUGCGAGCGUUGUCCGGAAUCACUGGGCGUAAAGCGCACGUAGGCGGCUUCGCAAGUCGGAUGUGAAAUCCCUCGGCUCAACCGAGGACGUGCAUCCGAAACUGCGGAGCUUGAGUACUGAAGAGGAUCGCGGAAUUCCCGGUGUAGAGGUGAAAUUCGUAGAUAUCGGGAGGAACACCAGUGGCGAAGGCGGCGAUCUGGGCAGUUACUGACGCUGAGGUGCGAAAGCGUGGGGAGCAAACAGG
This 253-nucleotide ribosomal RNA is filed under the name uncultured bacterium. Its description in RNAcentral is "partial 16S ribosomal RNA". It matches the Rfam family "Bacterial small subunit ribosomal RNA", at positions 524 to 776 of the family's 1533-position model. The record is from RNAcentral.